CUGGUUCGGUACUUGACUUCUACAACCUGCGCACGGAAACAACCGUACGCUGAGUAUGCAUAUACUCAGUGGUAUCACUAUAAUUCAAUUUAUAAUUAAAUACAUUAAAUCACAUACAUACUUUUUAUUCAAUUAUCACUACUAAUAAACAAUUCAACCUUUUUAUAUUAUCAAUUAAUUAAAUAUAUAAUUAUCAUUCUUAUUUCUUUAUUUCAAAUUUCACUCUUCACAUAUACUAUGUUACUCAAUUUAAUUUUAUCAGUCAAUUUAUUUCAUUUGCCCCUAUUAACUCGACUCGGCCUCGACGGAUACACGGAUUCCAACCAAACACACCAGUAUACAGUAAUCAGUAACAGUAACAGUAUUCAACACACAAAGUGCUGAACCUGUAACAGUAACAGUAACAGUAUUCGACACACAAAGUGUCGAGUCGGUAACAGUAACAGUAACAGUAUUCGACACACAAAGUGCCGAAUCAGUAACAGUAACAGUAGUCGGCACAUAAGUGCCUGAUCAGUAAGCCGGCAAAUACUCCGUACACUUCCAUAUCCUAUGGCAUGCCAACUAUAUCCGACUAGCCCGACUAGUUAAUAGGGUAUUUAAUUCACUUUUCAGUAUAAAUUUCCAUCUCAAUUCAGUAUCAAUUAUAAUUCCUUAUUUCAAUCGGUUUCACAGUAUUACAGUAAUUCUUUACUUCAGUAAUUUCACAAUUCAAUGCAUUAUGCAUAACAAUAUUCAAUAUUUUCACAAUUCACUCAGUAAUCAAAACAAUAUCCAGUAUUCCAUAAUUCGGUUCAGUAUCAGUUUCAAUUUCAUUACUACAUUAUAAAUUUAUUAUUUAUUAAACAUUUACCUUAAAAUACUUACCACACAUAAUUAGCAAAUUAAACACUUAAUAAUAAUAAAGUUUGAAUUAUAGUGAUACAAACCGUAAUUCCCGUGUCUAUUCCUCGUCCACUUUUUCUUUUCCUUUCCUCGUGGAUGCCUCGGGUGCGAUAUUAGCUACGAAAAGAAAUUAAGAUAAUUUUCAUAAUCAUUAGCACAACACAAUUUACUUGCUGAAAUUUUUAUCUAACUUUUACUUUAAUUUCAAUUUAAUCCUAACUAAAUCUAUAUAUUUUUGUUUCUCAAUUCAUACCUUCUUGCUACUCAAUUUCUUGCCAAACUUAUAUGUAACUAUCUAAUUUUUAUCAUAUUUUCAUAAUUUCGAAUUUAUUUCAAUUUAAUCCCUAAAAUUAAAACUUAUAGUUUAGUUUACAAUUCAAUCCUUUAUUCAAUUCCAAUCAAAAUUUUUAUCAAAUAAACCCUCAAUUCCAUCAUUAUUCAACAUAAACCCUACUAAAAAAAAUCUAUUAACUUCCAAAACCUCAACUUAUUUUCAACAAAACUAACUUCUAAAACAUCUAAAUUAAAAGAAAAGGACUUGAUUGACUUACCAAGUUAAAUUCCAAGCUUAAAAACCCUAUUUUCCCUUUUUCUUUUCUUUUCUUCUUCUCCCCUGUUCCUCCUCUGUUUCGUCUCUUUCUCUGUUUCUUUGUUCUUUCUAUUCUGUUUCUUUUCUUUUGCUUUGUUUUUAUUUCCUUUUAUUUUAUUUACUUUAUACUAUAAUAAUAUAUUUAUUCUAAAUAUCUAUUAAAUAUUCAAUCAUAUAUUCACAUUUGUACACCAUCAACACCAUACAAUUGUCACUAUUUAAUUUGUUUACCAAAUAAAAAUCUCAUAAUAUAAUUAAUUAAUUAAUUAAUAUCUUUUACUUAAAUUUUAAGUAAUUAAUAAUUAUAAUACAAGUGUAUAUUUAUACAUUAUUACACUUGUACUAUCUUAUCACCACACAUUUGUCUUAAUUUUAAUUUAUUCCAUAAUAAAAUAAUACAAUUAAUAUAAAUUGCAAUUUAAAUAAAUAAUAAUAAUUAUUAUUAUUAUAUACAUAUAAUAUUUAUAUAUAACUUAAAUAAGUCUUGAAUUUAACGCAUAUAUGCCGCCUCUUUCCAUGUAAGUGGCUUAAUUGCCACUUUAGCCCUUUUUACUUUCUUUUAAUUUAUAAUUAGACUUUCACUCUUUAUUCGAUUUGAUCCUUUUCUCCUAAUUAUUCUUAAUUAGACUAAAUUCACCUAAUUAAGCACUCAACUAAACUCAUAAUUACUUCUAAUAAUUAUUUAUGACUCAGUUUAUUAAGACGGAAGCCCGAUAAUAUACUUUUCCGGUGCCCACAGAUUUUGGGUCGUUACAUUUCUUCCCCCCUAAAAAAAAUUUCGUCCUCGAAAUUUUACCUGAAAAUAAGUGAGGAUACUGUGAUCUCAUAGUUUCCUCCGGUUCCCAUGUUGCUUCUUCCACAUUAUGGCUUCUCCACAGUACUUUUACCAGAGGGACUCGUUUGUUUCUUAAUUCUUUCACUUCUCGAGCUAGUAUUUGAACUGGUUCUUCUUCAUAUGACAAAUCCGGUCUAAUCUCAAUAUUUUCAGUAGAAAUAAUAUGAGAUGGAUCCGAUCGAUACCUUCGUAACAUGGAAACAUGAAAAACAUCAUGAAUUUUCUGUAAUUCUGGAGGUAAGGCUAAUCGAUAAGCAACAGGCUCAAUUCUUUCCACAAUCUCAUACGGCCCAAUAAAACGUGGACUCAAUUUUCCCUUUCGACCAAAUCUCAAAAUUUUCUUCCACGGCGAUACUUUGAGGAAUACUUUAUCACCAACGGAAUAUUCAAUGUCUCGUCGUUUCAAGUCUGCGUAAGAUUUUUGUCUGUCGAAAGCGGCUUUCAAUUUAUCUUUAAUCUUUUUAACUGUUUCUUCUGCUUCUUGAAUCAAUUCCGGCCCAAUCACUUUUCUUUCUUUUAAUUCUGUCCAACACACUGGUGAUCGACAUCUUCGACCAUAAAGUGCUUCAUACGGAGCCAUUUGAAUACUAGAUUGAAAACUAUUAUUAUAAACAAAUUCUGCUAGUGGCAGAUAUCAUUCCCAACCUGAUUCAAAAUCAAUGACACAAGCUCGAAGCAUAUCUUAUAAUAUCUGAAUUACCCGUUCAGAUUGUCCGUCAGUUUGAGGAUGGAAAGCUGUACUGAAAUUAAGUCGAGUACCCAAUGACUCAUGCAGCUGCUUCCAAAAUCUUGAUGUAAACCGAGGAUCUCGAUCUGAAAUUAUUGAUACUGGAAUUCCAUGUAAUCUAACAAUUUCCCGAAUAUAAACCUCAGCUAGCUUCUGUAGUGACCAGUCAGUUCUGACUGCUAUAAAAUCAGCAGGAUUAGUAAACCUAUCAACUACCACCCAAAUAGCAUUCUUUUUACUCACUGAUAAUGGCAAUCCCAUAACAAAAUCCAUGGUAAUGUAAUCCCAUUUCCACUCAGGAAUAUUAAUAGGCUGUAACAAACCUGUUGGUACCUGAUGUUCUGCUUUUACCCGCUGACAAGUCAAGCAUUUACUGACAUAUUCAAUUAUAUUUUUCUUCAUUCCUGACCACCAAUACAGUUCUCGUAAAUCACGAUACAUUUUCGUUCCACCUGGGUGCAAAGCAAAAGUACUAUCAUGUGCUUCUCGGAAAAUCAACUCUUUAAUCUCAGAAGUAGCUGGAAUACAAAUUCGAUUCCGAAAUCUCAAACAAUCAUGCUCGUCAAUACUAAAGUUUUCUGCCGUACCAUGCCGUACCAUGCCGUACCAUUUCUCUUUUCUUCAUUAACCUUUCAUCUUCCAUCUGUGCUGCUCUAAUCUGAUCAAACAUUACCGACCGAACUACAAAUCUCAUCAUCACAUCACAAAUCCAAUGGCAUGCCAUUUGUAUUCAAUCUAGUCCGAUAAGUUAAUAGGGUAUUAUUUUACUUUCCGAAUUUCAAAUCCAUUUCCACAACAAUCUCAAAUACUCAAACAAUUCAAAACAUCCAUUAUUUCAAUUCACAUAUAUUUCAAUAUUUACACAUAUUCUUACUUAAUUUCAAAUGUUAUCACUUACCUUACUUUAAAUGCCUCAUGAAUACAAUUUCAAUAUAGCAUUUAUUAAAUAGAUUAAGUUAUAGUAAUACAAACCCGGAAUACGCGUUUACUCCUCAACGAUCUUUUCUUUUCCUUUGGAUGCCGAUGCCUCGUUUUCCUUGUUAGCUACGAAAAUAAUAAUUAUUUUCACUAUUAAUUACAAUCAUUAACAAUAAUAAUAAUAAUUAAAUUUUAUUCAAUUCCUACUUAUUCCCAAUUUAAUUUUAACUAAGCUUACUUAUUAUUAUUUUUUCUAACUUAAUUCACACUCUAUUUCUACUCAAAUUUCUUCUAAACUCAAAUUUAUCUACUAAUUUUUCAGCAUUUUUUUCACUAAUUUCGAAUUUUCCUCAAUUUAAUCCCUAAAAUUCAAAACUUAUAGUUUAGUUCACAAUUUAAUCAUUUUAUCAACUCUAACUAGAAACUCUAUCAAAUAAACCCUCAAUUCCCUCAUUUAUUCAACAUAAACCCUAAUUUAAGGCUUUUUAUAACUUAAUCCCAACUAUGUAAAACUUACAACUUAGUUUACAAAUCAAUCUUUUUAUCUAUUCUAACUAGAAAUUCUAUCAACUAAACCCCUAAUUUAACAACUUGUUCAAAAUGAAUCAUGUUCAAAAACCUAUGAACUUCCAUAACCUCCACUUAAUCUCAACAAAACUUUAUUUUAAAGCUUCUAAAACAUCAAAAUGAAGAGAAAAUGGCUAAAUUUAGCUUACCAAUUAACUUGAAGCUUUAAAAUCUCAAUUUCCCCUUUUAUUUUUCUUUCCCUUUUUCUUCCCCUGUUUUUCGUCUCUUUCUCUGUUUCUAUUCUGUUCUUCUUUUG
Molecule: long non-coding RNA, 4777 nt
Filed under: Gossypium raimondii (Peruvian cotton)
Lineage: Eukaryota; Viridiplantae; Streptophyta; Magnoliopsida; Malvales; Malvaceae
Description: long non-coding RNA (GRAI_LNC006989)
Source: RNAcentral